This is a long non-coding RNA of Thalassophryne amazonica, 1726 nucleotides long. RefSeq lists it as uncharacterized. The record is from RefSeq and is a predicted model, not a curated record. NCBI's taxonomy places the organism in Eukaryota, Metazoa, Chordata, Actinopteri, Batrachoidiformes, Batrachoididae. The transcript has 2 exons.
CGAGGCACCAAAGUUUCAUUUAAACAGAAAUGAAACUUCUGGUUCUGCACAAACCUUUAAAGGCUGAACUACUCAGUAUCAAUAUUUGCAAAGCAAGACUACAGACAACAUCCACAUCCAAAAGAUAUGGCCACAUCCAGCAGUUACACGAAACCACGACAGAAGGUGUACAAGGAAAAAAUGGCUGAAUUGGAGACUGAAAAGAAAAAAAUGCAGGAGAUGAUUCAGCAGACACAAAACAAAGUUCAGAAGAUGAAAGUAGAGGUGCAGACAAAGAGGAAAAUCAGAGAUGCCUUGAUGAUUGAGGAUUCCGAGGUUUUCUUUAGUUUGAUGAGGUCCAUUCAAAGACGCCGGGCCGAGCUGGUUGACAAGCUCGAUGAGAAGCAGCAGGCAGUAGAAAGACUCUCUGAGAUAUCUGUCAAAAUGCUGCAAGAACAUGAAACUAAGCUUCAGAUAAGAUGCACAAAGUUGGAGGAACUCUCACAAACUGAAGAUGACUUUGAGUUCAUCAACACCUCUCCAACCGCCAAGGGCUCAUCUGACCUCAGCGCCAACAAUCACUCUUGUAUGGAGCUGAUGAGAAGAAAUCUGGCUGAGCUGGACACUCUCACUGAAGAGGUGAAGCGGAUUGAUAAAGAGGUCAGGGUAUGUUGGAGGAAAAUUCACAAACCAAACCUAAUCAAACUAUUGAUUAAGUUCAUCUCAACUGUUUUUGAAAACAUCAGGUUGAAGAUAAGACAACAACCCAAUGCUGUGGAAAUAGAGAUAAUCAUUUUUGUAUUUUCAAUGUUAGUAUGUUUCUGCUAUAUUCUAAAGACUAUCUUGAAAUUAAAUGAUAAUAAUACAAAAGGAGAAUAAUUUUAGUAAUCUAAUUAAUGUAUUUAACUGGUUUGACUUCCUGCUUGUCCAACUCCUUGAGGUCAUGUUUGUUGACUUCGUACGAUAAUUUUGCUCAUUGGAUUUGUGUCGAAGCUCCAACAGGAACAAACGUAGGAUUUUAGGGUUGCAAAUGUUUUUGACCAUUAGUCAGUAAAUAAAUAAAUGUUAGCUGACUUAAAGUUUGUAUAACUAAAUAUCAAACAACUCAUAUAUUUGAUCUUUGUUAUUGUGGGAGCAGCUCAUCCUUAGAGUCUGGAGUCUAGUCAACCUCAUGGAUCCCCGCAGAUUAUUAUGAUUAGUUAUACAAAUUAUUCCCCCCAGACGGAACACACAGGUGGAUGCUGGGGGGGGGCAGGCAGCCACAUUAAUGCAACAAUGUUGACAUUCACAGGCAGAGGAGGGCGUAAGAAAUUGAUUCUUUACAUACCCGGCUUUUACACAACUUUGUAUAAACUGAAUAACCAAUAUCGUCAGAACUGUAGAUGUUAAAACCCCGAAGAUAUCAGACUGAAAACAAUCCACUGUUGACCAGCUCUUUGCAAAGGAGCUGCUAAGGAAACCUUUCCUCUGUAAAAACGUUGUAAUUUUUUUUAAACAUGGAUAUGUGUUUCAUGAUUUACUUUUAUUUUUUUGUCUUGUAUCUAUGUAGUGUGCAUAUAUAAGAUUAAUAGCUCAUAUGCAGUAUAAUCAGCUUCUUUAGAACAAAUCUUUUUAUGCUGAUAACAAAUUAAUUCCACACAGUUUGGGCGUGAGGUUGGUGAAUUGCAAGAAUUUUUGUUAUGUUCAACGCCACCUUUGUUUGUCGGCAUGGUCGGCUAUUAGUUCAGAUUGUUAACUGCUAUAAAAA